This 1560-nucleotide ribosomal RNA is filed under the name metagenome. RNAcentral describes it as "bacterial LSU rRNA". It matches the Rfam family "Bacterial large subunit ribosomal RNA", at positions 1449 to 2925 of the family's 2925-position model. The record is from RNAcentral.
GGUUGUGGCGGCGAGCAAUGCGGGGACGCAGGAAGGUAGAUGAUCCCAGGCGAUGGUUGUCCUGGGGUAAGCGAGUAGGGAGAGGCCCAGGUAAGUCCGGUCCUCACGAUCCUGAGACGCGACGCCGAGCCGAAUCAGGCGAAGUCAUUGAUCCUAUGCUGCCAAGAAAAGCCGCUAGUUAGCACGUGUGGUGCCCGUACCCCAAACCAACACAGGUGGAUAGGUAGAGAAUACCAAGGCGAUUGAGAUAACUCUGGUUAAGGAACUCGGCAAAAUACAUCCGUAACUUCGGGAGAAGGAUGACCCCAUUAGGGUGACGGGACUUGCUCCCUGAGCUCGAAGGGGUGGCACAAACCAGUGGGAAGCGACUGUUUACUAAAAACACAGCAGCGUGCGAAGCCGUAAGGCGCUGUAUACGCUGUGACUCCUGCCCGGUGCUGGAAGGUUACGGGGAAGGGUUAGCCCUUGAGGCGAAGCUCUGAACCUAAGCCCCAGUAAACGGCGGCCGUAACUAUAACGGUCCUAAGGUAGCGAAAUUCCUUGUCGGGUAAGUUCCGACCUGCACGAAUGGAGUAACGACUCCCCAACUGUCUCAACCAGAGACUCAGCGAAAUUGAAGUACGAGUAAAGAUGCUCGUUAGCUGCAGAAGGACGGAAAGACCCCGUGGACCUUUACUAUAGUUUGGUAUUGGUUCUUGGUCUGAGUUGUGUAGGAUAGGUGGGAGACUAGGAAGCAUUGGCGCCAGUCAGUGUGGAGUCGUCCUUGAAAUACCACCCUUCUCAUACUGGGAAUCUAACUUCGACCCGUUAUCCGGGUCAGGGACAGUGCCAGAUGGGUAGUUUGACUGGGGCGGUCGCCUCCUAAAUGGUAACGGAGGCGCUCAAAGGUUCCCUCAGACUGGUCGGCCAUCAGUCGUUGAGUGCAAUCGCACAAGGGAGCUUGACUGCGAGACCGACAAGUCGAGCAGGUACGAAAGUAGGAGAUAGUGAUCCGGCGGUAGCGUGUGGAAGCGCCGUCGCUCAACGGAUAAAAGGUACCCCGGGGAUAACAGGCUAAUCUUCCCCAAGAGUCCAUAUCGACGGGAAGGUUUGGCACCUCGAUGUCGGCUCAUCGCAUCCUGGGGCUGAAGCAGGUCCCAAGGGUUGGGCUGUUCGCCCAUUAAAGCGGUACGCGAGCUGGGUUCAGAACGUCGUGAGACAGGUCCCAAGGGUUCGGCUGUUCGCCCAUUAAAGCGGUACGUGAGCUGGGUUUAGAACGUCGUGAGACAGUUCGGUCCCUAUCCUCUGCAGCCGAAGGAACAUUGACGAAGGCUGUCCCUAGUACGAGAGGACCGGGACGGACGGAGCUCUGGUGUGUCUGUUGUCCUGCCAAGGGCACGGCAGAUUAGCCACCUCCGGAAGGGAUAACCGCUGAAAGCAUCUAAGUGGGAAACCCGUUCGAAGAUGAGUGUUCCCAUGCGGUUAACGCAGUAAGGCCCGUGGCAAGACCACCACGUUGAUAGGCCGGAAGUGUACGCACAGCAAUGUGUUUAGCUGACCGGUACUAAUCGGCCGAGGGCU